GGGUCAGUAGGUUGGUCGUGCCACCGGUACGUACUGGUCUCACUGAUUCCUCCUUCCUGAAGAACCGUAAUGCCAUUAAUUUGGUGUUGCGGGGAAACAGGACUGUUACUUUGAAAAAAUUAGAGUGUUUAAAGCAAUCUAACGCUUGAAUACAUUAGCAUGGAAUAAUGAAAUAGUACGAUCGAUCCUAUUUUGUUGGUUUCUAGGAUUGACGUA
This 216-nucleotide ribosomal RNA is filed under the name Glomeromycotina sp. Its description in RNAcentral is "partial small subunit ribosomal RNA". The stretch from base 40 to 216 matches the Rfam family "Eukaryotic small subunit ribosomal RNA", at positions 686 to 864 of the family's 1831-position model. Lineage: Eukaryota; Fungi; Glomeromycota. The record is from RNAcentral.